AAUAGAUGCUUUAAAUUAAUUAGUGAUUUGUUUUUGCUUUUUUAAGGUAAAUAGAGGUGAAGUCUAUCUACAAUUAUAAUGCCAUUUUUUUUUUCAUGUCCACAAAAAAAUUGUUGCAACUUUCCCUUAGCAAAAAGUAGUAUACUUCAAGAUUAUUUUAUUAAGUUUACUUAAGUAAAGUUCAAGUAUACUUUUAAGUAUACUUUAUGUAGCAAGUAUACAAAGUGUUCUAGUGUUCAAGUAGUAUACUUGUAAGUGUAUUGUUUCAAUACUCCUUGGGACUAAAUCGGCCCACUUUCUAGUAUAUAAAAUAUACUUUUAAAUAUACUUUAAGUAUAACAGUAGCAAACUUUGAGUACACAACUAGUUUACCUCUAUGUUUGUAGUUUGUACUGCAAUUAUAAUAAAAGUGAACUUGAUUUACGGAUAGUUUACUAAUUAAAUACUUUGCACACUUAUACUGCAAGUAUAGUCAUAAGUUUUCUUUAAGUGAACUUUAUAUCAUACUUUAAGACUACUAUGUCCCUAUUUAGGUUUGAAUUUGUAUAAUUUUUGUUACAUGAAUAUCUGAGCAUGCAAAACAUACAAAGAAAGAACAGUGUCUUAUACUUACAAAAAGUCUAAAUAUAUUUAAGCUAUACUCCUAGAAUGUGUUUUCAUUGUUUUAUGGUAGAGGGUGCUAGUAUGCAUCUUCUGUACAAAAUGUUCAAAAAUACACGAGUGAAGAAGAAAAAGAAACACCACCCAGCAGGCAGAGUACAUCAAUGUGACGUCAGGAAGACGUUGGACUCCAACUAAUCCAACGUCAGUCAGACGUCAUAUUUUGGUUGAAAAUUAAAGUCGGUUUGACGUCUAAACCCAACUUUGUUUGACGUCAAACUCCGACAUCAGACAGACAAAUUUUGGUUGGAAUAAUCACCACACUGCAACAAAGGGUGAAAUGCAUGACAGCACAUUAAAGGGGGUUGAAAUGCUAUUUCAUGCAUACUGAGUUUUUUACACUGUUAAUGAGUUGGAUUCCCAUGCUAAACAUGGACAAAGUUUCAAAUAUUAAGUUGUACGUUUGAAGGAGUAUUUCUGUUCCAAAAAUACUCCUUCCGGUUUGUCACAAGUUUUGGAAAGUUUUUUUUUUUUCGAGUAUGGCUCUGUGUGACGUUAGAUGGAGCGGAAUUUCCUUAUAUGGGUCCUGAGGCACUUCUGCCGGAAGAGCGCGCGCUCCCGUAUAGCAGAGCACUGGGAGCACAACAGACGUUCACUGAUCAGAGCAAGAGCGUCGCGAAAUGUCACAAAAGAAGUGUGUUUUUGGUUGCCAGGGCAAGACAACCCUGCACAGAUUACCAAAAGAGAAACAGCAUUAAGGGACCAGUGGAUGGAGUUUAUUUUUACAGAGCAUCAACGGAGUUGUGCAAGUGUUUUUGUUUGUUCCCUGCAUUUCGAAGAUGCUUGUUUUACAAACAAGGCCCAGUUUGACGUUGGAUUUGCACAUCAUUUAUUUCUUAAGGAUAAUGCAGUCCCAACGAAAAAGGGUCACGAUCGUGUGUUGGAACCACAUGCGCCUCUGGGUCUGUGUCACAGCUUCCAGACGCUCUCAACCCAAAAGCCUACUGGCGCUCGUGAUUCUUUAGUUCCGCCCACACGUCACGCCUCCAGACGGUCGUGUUUUUCCGGGAAAAAUCGGUACAGACUAUCUUUCUCUUAUGAAUAUAAUAAAACUAAAGACUUUUUGGAGUUAUGAAAGAUGCAGUACUACUCUAUAGGUACUCAAGAUUAACAGGAUAUUGAGUGAAAACGAGCAUUUCACCCCCCAUUUAAAUAUCUCAAGAUCUCAGCAGAGGAGGAUUAAACAACUCCACAAACAGCAUUACCAGCUUCACGUAUUACUAACCAGACUGACUUUAUUUCUGUCAGACGUCUACAAAAGCUCUUAUUGAAAAUUAACAGGGGUUUAACUCUAAUGUGUUUAAUUUCCAUAACAGCAUAACAGUUAAACACCAUAACAGUGAUUAGUGUUUCCAUUAGUUGAGCUCUUAACACUUAUUAUAUGUUUUGGCUUUUGUGGCUGCUAUGACAGUUUGUUUGUCAAGCACAUUUGCAGCAUCAAAGAAAGCUAAAGUGAAAUGAGAUCAGAUGAUGGCUGUUUCCUGUUAAUGGUUUUAUAAUCAUCAUGAAAUAACCUGAUUCGCUGAUGUUUUUAAUCUAACAAUUAUGUUGUUCCAUUAGUGCAUUAAUAUUACAAACCCUGUGUAUCUGCCACAUGAGAUCCAGCGGUAUUAUAACAGUCAGUUAAAAUCUUUUAACAAGCAUGAGCUCAAAAACUUAACCUACGCUGACACACACAGAUAUCAACAAUCAGCGUAUGAAUCUCAACAAUGGUAACAUGCUUCAUGCAGCAAUGCAUUGGGAGCCAUGUGUUGUAUACUAUCCCAGCAUGCAUUGCUGCAUGAAGCAUGUCACCAUUGUUGAGAUUCAUAUACUGAUUAUUGAUGUCUAUGUGUCUCGAAAGCUUUUUCUCCCAAAAAAAUGCAGAAUGUUUGAUCUGAGGGAAGAAAGUAUUUUCUCUUGAAUAUUGUUCAUUAAUAAUAAAUAACCACUUUGGGUCAAUGACAAUAAAAAUAAUUUUCCUCAAUAAUUUUUUUUUCAUGAUGAUGAAAACUAUAUCACCUUAUUUUUGUUCAUGGCUCCUUAUAAUAAUAAAUUAUAUGUUUUUGUAAACACUAUUGCAGGAACCACAAACGUACUAAGCCUAGAGUCAAACUACCCAACUAAAGCAAACACUGAUCACAAUAAUGGUGACCAAACAUUUUCAAAUAAAACAUCAACAUCUAAACCUCUUUUAAUUCUCAAAAAUAACUUCUGUAGACAUCUGACAGAAAUAAAGUCAAACUGGUUAGUAAUAAGUGAAGCUGGUAAUAUGUGUACUGCCAUGCAUUUCACCAUUUUUUUAAGUUUUUUGGGGUGGGGGUGUUUAUUCCAGGCAAAAUUCAGCAUCUACCCAACAUUGGAGCUUGAAAACAACCCAAUUUUCAUUUUCAACCAAAAUCCAACUUCUAACCGCUAUUAUUAUGUUUGCGAUAUCAAUCACUGGUCGAUAACCAUAAUGUUUGUAUAAACUGUAGGUAACAACUGGUAAAAUGUACGUCUAGGUCAUAAAAACCAUAAUAAUACCUACACUUAAAUAUGUUCUUCUCAGCCAUGUCAUCAAUUGCUCUUGAGCGAAAUCUCCUCAUCCGUUGUCUGAUUGGAAUUUUGCAAGGAUUUCUGUGUAGUUAAAGUGUGCGUAGCCUGCAUCUAUCCACUUUUUCUUUUGUAACUUACCCACAUUAACGUGUUUAAAAAAAGAAUGCAAACCGCUAGAAUGAAAUGUUUUUGUUUACACUGUAAAAAGUGAUUCUCUAUAUUUAUUCAAUAAAAUUGUGUAAAAAUGUUAAAAGCAAUAUUAUUCAUUAAAUUUAACACAUUUUCAUUAAGUAGAAUUAACCAUUCAAAAUGAGUAGAAUAACAUGAAAAAAUUAAGUAAAAUUUACACAAAAAUAUUGAUUUCACUGGAUAAAAAAAUAAAAAUAAAACACUAUUCUAAAGAAUACUAUGUUAUGCAUGCCAGGCCAGUAGUAAACACUGUUUUGGGGGCCUUACAACCUUUUAAACAUGAUGCCUUUAUUAUAUCUAUGUAAGCAACAAAAAUGUGAAUUUGUAAAAAGGUUGACGUCAUGUGAUGUGACAAGUCGGUUCUGGGGCAUUUUGAGUUAUUCGCAGAUUCUGAAAGUGUAGUCUCCAAGCUUUCCAACGAUGUGUAACACAUGGAAAUCUGAUAAUAUUUGGAGAAGUUGUGGCCAUUUGAAGGUAGGGACUCAAAAAAGCUCAAAAAGCAGAAAAUAGCCUCUAAAGAUUGUGCCGUUCUCACCUGUUCUCACUGCUGCGAGUGACAAUGGGGCUCAUUUACAUCUCAUUUAAAUAAGCCAUACCCCCUGUAAAGCUGCUUGGUUGCAUAGCAACGACAGACACAACUGGAAAAAUCGGCCGCAUACUAUUAAUAAUAAAGGACAAUGUGCAUUGUAAAUGUCAGUAAUUUAUCUUUUUUGACUUUUAUAAAAAUGAUUUAGAGGCUGAAAUAUGUGAGUUUUAUCUUUUUAUAAAAAAAUCUUUAAUCUUUAAAAUGUGGCCAUCAUUUUUAAUGUUAUUAUUUUAAUGUUUAUGUAAACAAAAAGUACAUAUUGAUGCUAAUUGUAUUUGUUAUUUGCUGGUUUUCAACAUAAAACUUGGUGAAAUUAUUUCAUUUCGCACUUUCUCUUUGUCGGGGUCUUCUUUGUGGAUGUAAUCUCCGAAGUUUGCACUGUCCGUCUGUUUGCCUCUAAAUGUUACGGAUUUUCCCCAUUUCUCUGUCUUUAUCCCCAUCAAAUGUUACUAUCGAUAUAGCCUCUGAUAUCUUACAGUCCAACUCGUCUGACGCCAGUUCAAUACAUUCUUCCUCGGUGUCAUCUUCGCUCAGUUGUAGAUUAGGGAUAUUAUACAGUCUUAUUAUGCCGCUUUCAUCGUCGCUCAUAUCCUCUUCAGAAUCAGUGAGCGCUUGUUCAUAAGCAUCCAGAUUGUCGAAGAAGUACUUCAAAACAUUUUCGGUGUAAUGGCCACGGUUCAGCUCGUCUGCGAUCAUCUUUGCGGCGCACAUCUUCAUUGAAUUUUGAUAUCAGCUAGAGCCGGCCAGAGUGCUGCAUAUUAAGUAGCCACGCUUCCCUCGGAGUAUACGGAACAUCACAUUUAUAUGAAUGCAUUAGUGAGAGCGAUUGCGUGUGUGAAUUAUUUCUACAUGGCUGCAUCUCUCUACUAGUAGUGACACUGUGGCAUUUAGUAAUCAACAAAUAUAUGCUUAAACUUUUCUGUUUCUAAGCUAUUUUAUUGAGAAAUCACAGAACAGCAUUGACAGUACAUAUCUGCGCUGAAUGAUUCUGUGCGCUAGCCUAUGUGUGUGCCUUACAGUGCAGCAGCACAUUAGAUUAGAACAGCACUUAACUUAACUGUACAAUAAGCUGUUUAGAAUGUGCAUUCUCCCGUUCAAUUUCGAGCAUCCAGUAAUAUGAUCACACAUGUCUUGUGGAGCUUUCGGAGUAUACAUUUAUUUGUCAUUGUAACUGUUUGGAUUGGAAAGUCUUAACCUCUGCUUAAUGAUGUAAACGGGAAUCAUUCAGGAGCCGUCCCAGCGGAGGGGAAAGAUUUUACUCUAUCGUUUUAUUCCAAGCAACAGAAAAAUUGAGCAUGCGUGUCAUGCGCCUGUCUCUCAAUGGGAGGAAG
Molecule: long non-coding RNA, 5283 nt
Organism: Carassius gibelio (silver crucian carp)
Lineage: Eukaryota; Metazoa; Chordata; Actinopteri; Cypriniformes; Cyprinidae
Exons: 2
Source: RefSeq, a predicted model, not a curated record